Molecule: ribosomal RNA, 450 nt
Filed under: uncultured organism
Description: partial 16S ribosomal RNA
Rfam family: Bacterial small subunit ribosomal RNA
Source: RNAcentral
CACUCCUACGGGAGGCAGCAGUGGGGAAUAUUGGACAAUGGGCGCAAGCCUGAUCCAGCCAUGCCGCGUGAGUGAUGAAGGCCCUAGGGUUGUAAAGCUCUUUCACCGGUGAAGAUAAUGACGGUAACCGGAGAAGAAGCCCCGGCUAACUUCGUGCCAGCAGCCGCGGUAAUACGAAGGGGGCUAGCGUUGUUCGGAUUUACUGGGCGUAAAGCGCACGUAGGCGGACUAUUAAGUCAGGGGUGAAAUCCCGGGGCUCAACCCCGGAACUGCCUUUGAUACUGGUAGUCUUGAGUUCGAGAGAGGUGAGGGGAAUUCCGAGUGUAGAGGUGAAAUUCGUAGAUAUUCGGAGGAACACCAGUGGCGAAGGCGGCUCACUGGCUCGAUACUGACGCUGAGGUGCGAAAGCGUGGGGAGCAAACAGGAUUAGAUACCCUAGUAGUCCCAUGA